UGGGGAAUUUUGCACAAUGGAGGAAACUCUGAUGCAGCGACGCCGCGUGAGUGAUGAAGAUCUUCGGAUUGUAAAACUCUGUCCUUAGUGAAGAUAAUGACAGUAACUAGGAAGCAAGCCCUGGCUAAAUACGUGCCAGCAGCCGCGGUAAUACGUAUGGGGCAAGCGUUGUCCGGAAUUAUUGGGCGUAAAGGGUACGUAGGCGGUUUAAUAAGUCCUAAUUAAAAGGCUAUGGCUCAACCAUAGUAUGGUUAGGAAACUGUUGAACUUGAGUAGAUGAGGGGAAAGUGGAAUUCCAUGUGUAGCGGUGAAAUGCGUAGAUAUAUGGAGGAACACCAAUGGCGAAGGCAACUUUCUGGAAUCAAACUGACGCUGAGGUACGAAGGCGUGGGGAGCAAACAGG
RNAcentral lists this ribosomal RNA (403 nucleotides) under Fusobacteriota bacterium. Its description in RNAcentral is "Fusobacteria bacterium partial 16S ribosomal RNA". It matches the Rfam family "Bacterial small subunit ribosomal RNA", at positions 355 to 776 of the family's 1533-position model. The record is from RNAcentral. Lineage: Bacteria; Fusobacteriati; Fusobacteriota.